This 358-nucleotide ribosomal RNA is filed under the name Collimonas sp. 16.2.3. Its description in RNAcentral is "bacterial SSU rRNA". It matches the Rfam family "Bacterial small subunit ribosomal RNA", at positions 1014 to 1366 of the family's 1533-position model. Lineage: Bacteria; Pseudomonadati; Pseudomonadota; Betaproteobacteria; Burkholderiales; Oxalobacteraceae. The record is from RNAcentral.
UGUUCGAAAGAAAGCUGUAACACAGGUGCUGCAUGGCUGUNGUCAGCUCGUGUCGUGAGAUGUUGGGUUAAGUCCCGCAACGAGCGCAACCNUUGUCAUUAGUUGCUACGAAAGGGCACUCUAAUGAGACUGCCGGUGACAAACCCGGAGGUAGGUGGGGAUGACGUCAAGUCCUCAUGGCCCUUAUGGNUAGGGCUUCACACGUCAUACAAUGGUACAUACCAGAGGGCCGCCAACCCGUGAGGGGGAGCUAAUCCCAGAAAGUGUAUCGUAGUCCGGAUUUGUAGUCUGCAACUCGACUACAUGAAGUUGGAANUCGNCUAGUAAUCGCGGAUUCANGCAUGUCGCGGGUGGANUA